AUUGAACGCUGGCGGCAUGCUUUACACAUGCAAGUCGGACGGCAGCACAGAGAAGCUUGCUUCUUGGGUGGCGAGUGGCGAACGGGUGAGUAACAUAUCGGAACGUACCGAGUAAUGGGGGAUAACUAAUCGAAAGAUUAGCUAAUACCGCAUAUUCUCUGAGGAGGAAAGCAGGGGACCUUUUGGCCUUGCGUUAUUCGAGCGGCCGAUAUCUGAUUAGCUAGUUGGUGGGGUAAAGGCCUACCAAGGCGACGAUCAGUAGCGGGUCUGAGAGGAUGAUCCGCCACACUGGGACUGAGACACGGCCCAGACUCCUACGGGAGGCAGCAGUGGGGAAUUUUGGACAAUGGGCGCAAGCCUGAUCCAGCCUUGCCGCGUGUCUGAAGUAGGCCUUCGGCGUGUAAAGGACUUUUGUCAGGGAAGAAAAGGCUGUUGCUAUUAUCA
Molecule: ribosomal RNA, 444 nt
Filed under: Neisseria subflava
Lineage: Bacteria; Pseudomonadati; Pseudomonadota; Betaproteobacteria; Neisseriales; Neisseriaceae
Description: bacterial SSU rRNA
Rfam family: Bacterial small subunit ribosomal RNA
Source: RNAcentral